UAUUUUGACUAUACGAAGGUAUUGAAAUAAGAUUUUAAAUGAGUGCUAAGAGAAUGGUUGAACAAUUGGAAGCUUUCUUUAAUUAAGUAGUUAAAUUUAAUUUUUUUGUGAAGAAGCAAAAAUAAAGAUUAGGGACAAGAAGACCCUAUGAAUUUUAAUUUGGUCUUAUAUUUAUUAUUAAAGAAAAGAUUAAAUUUGGUUGGGGCGAUGGAUAAAGAAUGUGUAUCUUUUUUUUAUUAAGUUUUAAAAAUUAGUUCCGUUUUUAGCGAUUAUAUGAAAAAAAUACUCUAGGGAUAACAGCGUAAUAAUUUUGGAUAGUUCAUAUUGAUAAAAUAGUUUGCGACCUCGAUGUUGGAUUAGGAUUCUUUUUCGGUGAAGGAGUUGAAGAGAAGAAGUUUGUUCAACUUAUUAAUUCC
Molecule: ribosomal RNA, 416 nt
Filed under: Ixodes monospinosus
Lineage: Eukaryota; Metazoa; Arthropoda; Arachnida; Ixodida; Ixodidae
Description: partial 16S ribosomal RNA
Source: RNAcentral